CUGUAGGCUGCAACUCGCCUACACGAAGUCGGAAUCGCUAGUAAUCGCGGAUCAGCAUGCCGCGGUGAAUACGUUCCCGGGCCUUGUACGCACCGCCCGUCACACCAUGGGAGUUUGUAACGCCCAAAGUCGGUGGCCUAACCUUUAUGGAGGGAGCCGCCUAAGGCGGGACAGAUGACUGGGGUGAAGUCGUAACAAGGUACC
Molecule: ribosomal RNA, 204 nt
Filed under: uncultured bacterium
Lineage: Bacteria
Description: partial 16S ribosomal RNA
Rfam family: Bacterial small subunit ribosomal RNA
Source: RNAcentral